RNAcentral lists this ribosomal RNA (464 nucleotides) under uncultured bacterium. RNAcentral's name for it is "partial 16S ribosomal RNA". It matches the Rfam family "Bacterial small subunit ribosomal RNA", at positions 29 to 507 of the family's 1533-position model. The record is from RNAcentral.
ACGAACGCUGGCGGCGUGCUUAACACAUGCAAGUCGAACGGAAAGGCCCCUUUGGGGGUACUCGAGUGGCGAACGGGUGAGUAACACGUGAGUAACCUGCCCUUGACUUCGGGAUAACUUCAGGAAACUGGGGCUAAUACCGGAUAGGAAUCCUUGCUGCAUGGUGGGGGUUGGAAAGCUUCGGCGGUUUUGGAUGGACUCGCGGCUUAUCAGCUUGUUGGUGGGGUAGUGGCUUACCAAGGCUUUGACGGGUAGCCGGCCUGAGAGGGCGACCGGCCACAUUGGGACUGAGAUACGGCCCAGACUCCUACGGGAGGCAGCAGUGGGGAAUAUUGCACAAGGGGCGGAAGCCUGAUGCAGCAACGCCGCGUGCGGGAUGACGGCCUUCGGGUUGUAAACCGCGUUCAGCAGGGGCGAAGCUUGUGGUGACGGUACCUGCAGAAGAAGCACCGGCUAACUACGUG